GUGUUUGGUUUGUUUGGGUUGGUCGGAUCCCUGCUCGCGCAGCGACGGCCCGUCCUUCUUACCUCUUCGGUCCCAUUUCCGAGUUCGUGCAAGUACGGCCUCGGAUCGAAUCGGUUUUCUGUGUUGCGUACCCACGUUGAAGGAAUUGUCCCUCGUUCACUCGCCCCGUAUUCGGUCUUGCGCUGCUUGGGCGGCGCGAGACGGACCGUGCGGCGUCCCUCGUUGUCUUUUCUCGCCUCGCUUUCGGGCGGCGCGCGAAACGGCCAACGUUGCCUUGACGCUCGAAAUCUCGGAUGUGGAACCUUAAGCGGACGAAAAGGGGCCUUCGGUCCCGGUUUGCCCGAACUGAGCGUUCUCGCUUCUCACGAACGACUGUCGGCGCUGUGUCGGGAUGCGGAAUUCCCGUGCGGUGCCGGCGUCGAGGAGGAAUG
RNAcentral lists this unclassified non-coding RNA (431 nucleotides) under Hydrocotyle rugulosa. RNAcentral's name for it is "partial external transcribed spacer". Lineage: Eukaryota; Viridiplantae; Streptophyta; Magnoliopsida; Apiales; Araliaceae. The record is from RNAcentral.